GAAACAGCUGAUUAAACCUUGGCCCUUGGAUCUAAGCACUGCUUUCAGACUGGCUUGUGACCCAAUACAAAAUCUGAUUUAGAGAUGGGAAAUUAAUGAACUUCAUAUAACCCAGGCAGAAUACAGUGUCCUGACUUGCUACUCUGACUGGGGAUCCUUUGAAGUCUGAAAUCAUGGAAAGUUCAUCACCAAAGUUUGAAAGCUAAGAUGCAGCAAACUGAACUGACCAGGCUGAGAGGUGACAUCAGUGAUGGGAUCAGAUCUGGAGCAGCAAGCCUUCAGCAAGUCCUGCAUUCCAGCUGGCUGGCUUUGCUGGUAGCUGUCUUUGUUAUAGGCCAGAGGGAUGUUGUCACCACAGAGUCGGAAUUGUCACCACAUGAGCACCCAGACCUGGGCUCAUCUGGAGGGCUGACAGUUCAAGAAAAGAGUUUUCUGUAAGAGCACAUCAGCAAUUGUGGAGCAAGGAGGGGAAAAAAAAAGAAUUGUGGUCCCCAUUCUGCUCUCAUCA
Passer domesticus (house sparrow) is the source of this 508-nucleotide long non-coding RNA. RefSeq lists it as uncharacterized. The transcript has 3 exons. The record is from RefSeq and is a predicted model, not a curated record. NCBI's taxonomy places the organism in Eukaryota, Metazoa, Chordata, Aves, Passeriformes, Passeridae.